Non-coding RNA from Aegilops tauschii subsp. strangulata, 1128 nucleotides. The record is from RefSeq and is a predicted model, not a curated record. Lineage: Eukaryota; Viridiplantae; Streptophyta; Magnoliopsida; Poales; Poaceae.
UCCAUCAUCCCCUUCGACAGCUCCGCUUGUGCAGCUCCCCCGCGACAUCGGUGAUGCCACGCAGCUCCACCACGCCGCGACCCGCAGCUCCACCGCUCCCUCCAUCCCUACCCGUUGAUUUGUUUCCUAAAAUACUCACCUUUCCCCAUCCCUGCCCGCUACGAGGCCGAAUGUGUACCACUCCAGCAUCCCCGACGCGGUGUCCAGCCGGAGGAAGAGGUAGUCGUGGGCGGCGCGGAAGGCGCCGUCGGCCUCCACCAGCGCCUUGAUGUAGGUGUUGGAGCCGCCAGCAAAAUUUCAAAUUGGGAAGAGCAAAAUCUCACCUUUCCUUUUCCGGCGGAUAUGAAGGCGGCUCUCUUCUCUUCAUAGGGUUACGUCGUCGACCAAUUCACAUUGCUGGCGCCGUUGUCCCACCGAUGGUUGUGGCAGCAGCAAUUAUCUUGCAGGCUCAGGAAUUAUCUUUGCAGGUUCUCCAGACACAACAAUAAUCUUCAGACUCACACCACUAGUUGAACAGCAGCAGUAGUAGAGGUGGGCGGGGCAGACUCACCAGCACCAGUACAAGCAGAGUCGAGGCAAGGGAAAGGGAAGAAGCAUCAUCAGGGGUCCACGUCGGCGUCGCCCACCAGCAGUAGCAACAUCAGAGGCGGGAGUGGCCGGAAUUGUCCACGGUGCCGGCGACCGAAGCGGACAAAGUUGGAGGCGCAGGUUUGUGGCCGUGGGCGGCGAAGCUAGUUGCGCAGGUGGGCGACCGCAGACGGCGCUGGUGGGCGACCGCGUGCGGCUAGAUUCAACGGGGCCGGCGACGCAGCUCGAGGCGGGCGCCACAGGUGGGAAGCCUCGGCGCACGUCCAGGCGGGCGGCAGCGCUGGUGUUGGUCGCGUGCUGGGCGGCGCUGGUGUUGGUCGCGACGCAGGUCCAGGCGGGCGGCGGCGCAGGUGGGAAGCCGACGAUGGCUGCGAGGCGCGGGUGACGGGGGAGCACGAAGGAAGAAGAUGGAGUUAUUCGUGAUGGGUUUAAAACUCUGAGGGUUUUUUUGUAAAAAAGUAAAUACACUGUGCCGGGGACAACUUUUCCUGGACGAAGGGAGUAUAAGUGAAGCAUGAGUGUUCAACAAUUUCUUCAAAA